RNAcentral lists this long non-coding RNA (1843 nucleotides) under Homo sapiens (human). Its description in RNAcentral is "HSALNT0371392". Lineage: Eukaryota; Metazoa; Chordata; Mammalia; Primates; Hominidae. The record is from RNAcentral.
GAAGGUUUGCCCCUCAGUGGGAAGAAAGCUUCCAACUCCCAGCGGUUCCAGCAGAAGUCCUGGGGCUGGAGAGCUGUUCCUGAGUUGCCUGUGAUCACAUACCACACCUGAUGGCAUCACUGUAUCCAGGCUCCAGGUGCAUAGAAUGUUGUGAGGUCAUGACUGCCAGCAUUAUGACCAGUCUUGGAACUAGGAUUGGGGUGGGGUUCAUCCCACCCAGACCACAGAGACUGAAAAUAAGAAAGGGGUGAGGCCUAAGGGACAAUCAGGAUGUUUUUCAGAGAGAAGUGUGGAUGCUGGACAGGAAGAACCACAGAUACCAGAUACGGGUACUGUUGUAACUCUGUUCUCCAUGAAAAAAAAGGAAGAAUCAACACUUUCAGAGAUGGAGCCUGUUGAGCCACAGUACCAACUAGUCAAUGCUGAAUCGACUUCUCCCUUUCUACAUUGCCUGAGAGAAGUCAUUGGGGAAUACUCUGUACACGAAUUUUCACUGUUGGGGAAAACAGGUAUUGGAAGUGAUGGGUAGACCUCAGUUUGUAUGCAUUGUGUUAAUUACUAUUUCUUUGCUUUUCCUUUUUUUGUGCGGUUGCAGAGAGUCAAGGGAUUGGAUUGUGGAUUGCAUUGGUGGUUUUCCUCAGUUUCCUCAUCUUCUCCACAAGUUUCUACAUAUCGAAUGCAGAGCAGCCCUUCUUCAAAGGACCUCCUACGGAAGCUGCUAAGGAACUCAGUCUGUAGCUCUGCGUGGAGCCAUGUGUAAACACUGAACUGAGACCUGCCACCUCCUACUACCUAAGGGCCCAUUUUCAUCUGAUAUCAUCCCCCAGAAACAAACUCAUGAUGACUUCCAUGUUUUUUUUAGAUUAGAUACAUGGAGAAUUUUCCUUUCCCUUAGAAUUAAAAUCCUGCAUUCUAAUUUUCAGUAAGCUUUUUUAUUUCUGAAUAAUUUUAAAUUUAAAGAGAAGUUGCAAAGAUAGUAUAGAAUGUUCCCUUAUACCUGUUUUUAUUUAGAGUGAUGUUCCCAGGAGAAAUGAUAAUGCAGCAAUGGACAAGAACAGGAACAAGAGACAGUCUUACCAUCUUCUUACAAUUUAUAGAUGGGACAGUGGAAAGAGAAGCCACAUCGGGGUUGGGCAUGCAGAGACCUGGUCCUAAAUCUGUGUGACUUUUGCGAAAUCCUUUUGCCUCACAGAGCUCUAGGUUCUUAUCUGUCAAACAGGAACCAGACCAUCAGAUCCGUAGAGAUCCAACCAAUGAAGGAGACUUCGAAAACUUCACAUUGCCGUGUCAAUGUGAGGUUGCUGGAUGGUUAUGACAAGAAAUCACAUUAAAUUCACUGGGGUAACAUUGUUCAUGAAACGGGAUAAUGUGUUUCAGCGAUGAACCACCCAUGGCCUUACUACAGACAUAUUUCCACUUUGAAAAUGUGUGUGAGUGUACAUGUCUGUGUGUGAGGCAGAGAUUAGAAAGUGUAAAUGUGUGCGUUUUCAUUUUACACAUCUUACAUUUUCCUUUAAUUUGUUUGAAAGCCUGUUUUGUUUGUGGCUUCCAUUCCUGGAAGUCCCAUGAGUUGUUAGUGGUGAAGAUGGAACAGAUGUGUCCAACCCGGGGGACUCCUGCCCUCAGGGACUGAGCAGCUGCAAACCUCUCUCUCAUCUGAUUCCACUGUUUCUUCCACAUGUACACAUCAUGAGAAAUAUUGUUCAAUCAAUAUCUUCCCUUAAAUCAACUCAUAUGCUUAUUUACAUGAAUUUACCUAAAACAGAAACUUGAUAUCACUUCUGUAAAUGAAAAAAUUAAACUUUCUGGCUUUAAAUAAAGCAUAACAAUAAUAAUCAUGUCA